Molecule: non-coding RNA, 80 nt
Organism: Coemansia helicoidea
Lineage: Eukaryota; Fungi; Kickxellomycota; Kickxellomycetes; Kickxellales; Kickxellaceae
Source: the annotation of a GenBank genome assembly
GGUGCGAUGGCCGAGUGGUCUAAGGCGCUGCGUUUAGGCCGCAGUGGGCAACCGCGUGGGUUCGAAUCCCACUCGCAUCA